GAGUGAGCGGCAAAAGCUCAAAUUUGAAAUCUGGCACCUUCGGUGUCCGAGUUGUAAUUUGAAGAUUGUAACCUUGGGGUUGGCUCUUGUCUAUGUUUCUUGGAACAGGACGUCACAGAGGGUGAGAAUCCCGUGCGAUGAGAUGCCCAAUCCUAUGUAAGGUGCUUUCGAAGAGUCGAGUUGUUUGGGAAUGCAGCUCUAAGUGGGUGGUAAAUUCCAUCUAAAGCUAAAUAUUGGCGAGAGACCGAUAGCGAACAAGUACAGUGAUGGAAAGAUGAAAAGAACUUUGAAAAGAGAGUGAAAAAGUACGUGAAAUUGUUGAAAGGGAAGGGUUUGAGAUCAGACUCGAUAUUUUGUGAGCCUUGCCUUCGUGGCGGGGUGACCCGCAGCUUAUCGGGCCAGCAUCGGUUUGGGCGGUAGGAUAAUGGCGUAGGAAUGUGACUUUGCUUCGGUGAAGUGUUAUAGCCUGCGUUGAUGCUGCCUGCCUAGACCGAGGACUGCGAUUUUAUCAAGGAUGCUGGCAUAAUGAUCCCAAACCGCCCGUCUUGAAACACGGACA
This 559-nucleotide ribosomal RNA is filed under the name Meyerozyma guilliermondii. RNAcentral describes it as "eukaryotic LSU rRNA". It matches the Rfam family "Eukaryotic large subunit ribosomal RNA", at positions 91 to 667 of the family's 3401-position model. The record is from RNAcentral. Lineage: Eukaryota; Fungi; Ascomycota; Pichiomycetes; Serinales; Debaryomycetaceae.